GAGAAAUAAAUUCCCAACAUUAAUAUUUAGUAAAACUAUAUUUUGUUUCAAUAUUUUAUUUAGUGGUUUGCGCCUUGUGUACACUUCACAAAGAUGUUUCUAUGUUUUUAUGUUCUAUAAUUCAAAGUGUACACAAAGGCGCAAUAUUCAAAAAAAAAAGUUCGUUGCCAAGGUGUUGUUAUAUAGAAUAAUAAGAUAAUAAAAAACGGGAAAGUAGGGCGUGUGUCCGAUCCCACACAAAAAUUACUUUAAUACCAAAAGUUUGUGUUAUUGUAAUAAAAUAUUAGUUGUGAAAAGUG
Molecule: long non-coding RNA, 299 nt
Organism: Diabrotica virgifera virgifera (western corn rootworm)
Lineage: Eukaryota; Metazoa; Arthropoda; Insecta; Coleoptera; Chrysomelidae
Exons: 2
Source: RefSeq, a predicted model, not a curated record